UUUUUUUUUCAUUUAAAAUUUUAAAACUUUCAAACAUUUUUAAAUGUUUAUUUUAUAUUAGAAUAUAGUUGCUUUACAGUGGUGUGUUAGUUUCAGGUGUACAGCAAAGUGAUUGAGUUCUACAUAAACAUAUAUCCAUUCUUUUUCAGAUUCUUUUCCCAUAUACGUAUUGCAGGAUACGGAGCAGAGUUCCCAGUGCUACAUAGUAGGUCCUUGCCGAUUAUCUAUAUUGUAUAUAGCAGUGUGUAUGUAUUAACCCCAAACUCCUCCAAAUGCUUGUCAUUUUAAAUUGUCUGCCCCCGGAGACUCCAUAUGACCACAUUUGGUGCUGCCUUUUUGAAAUGGGAUAUACACUCGCCAGCUCUUCUCCACCAGUCAUUUUACUUAUUUUUCAAAAUGUUCUCUCUUCAUAAGCAUUUUGAAUUUGUGUGCACCAGUACCCAAAAUGACCUUUAUCAUCCUCUAGGUGCUGUAUUCUAGUUACUAGCAUAAGUAUCUCUCUCUACAGUAUAAACUGCUUUAUGACAAACGAUUUUACUCACCUCCAGAUUCUUGCAGCAUCGGUGUCAUCUUGCAACUGGUUUAAAAAUGCCUAUUUGUAAAAGUCUAUACACUGUAGAUUCAAAUAUUGUCCAUGGUAUUCCCAUUUUUCCCACAAGAAAUAUUUCACAUCUUGGUAACAUUUCACCCAGUGGGGGCAACUGUGUCCCCCAGGGGGCACUUGGCAAUGUCUAGAGACAUUUCUGGUUGUCACAACUUGGCGGCCCAGGGGGGAUGCUACUGACAUCUCUUGUGUAGGUGCCAGGAACACUGCUCAACAUCCCACAGUGCACAGGACAGCACCUCCACAAUAAAGACUCCUCCCGCAGAGGAUGUCAGCAGUGCGUAGGCUGGGAAACUAAAGAAACCAAAGGAAUGGUUUGUCCCACAGUUUUGACUUGUGGCUGCCUAAGAGGGGCUGAUACUUGAUUUAGAAUAGUGAGUCCCUGAGCAGCUUGUGGCAGUGACACAAUCGGCCUCAUUGGGAUUUUAACCAUUUCUUGAAUGGGUAAUUAUACUGCUCCUCCAAACAAAUGCAAUUUGGGCAAUAUUAUGUCCUUUUAAGCCUUCUGAAUUUGCUUUUAAUAUUCGCAUUUUCUAAAAGACCAUAGCUGAAUAUAUGCAUAUAUACACAUUCCAAAAGAGAGAUGGAUGGAGUUCCCGUUGUGGCUCAGCAGGUUAAGAAUCUAACUAGCAUCCAUGAGGAUGCAGGUUCAAUCCCUGGCCUUGCUCACAAUCUGAGGUGUAGGUCACAGAUAUGGCUCUGAUCCAGCUGUGCUGUGGUGUAGAAAAAUAAACAGAUAGAUAGAUAGAACCCCUUCAAUCUGUGAGCAUGCAGGCAGAAUAAUGGUAAACAUUUAAUCCUGUGAAUUAUAUAUUCCCAGUAUUUUACUCUUUUGAGUUUUUAUGUUUGUUUUUAGGGCCUCACCAUGGCAUGUGGAAGUUCUCAGGCUAGGGGUCAAAUCGGAGCUACAGCUACCAGCCUAAGCCACAGCCACAGCAACUCAGAAUCCCAGCCAUGUCCUC
This 1566-nucleotide long non-coding RNA is filed under the name Sus scrofa (pig). Its description in RNAcentral is "lncRNA (ENSSSCG00050047310.1)". The record is from RNAcentral. Lineage: Eukaryota; Metazoa; Chordata; Mammalia; Artiodactyla; Suidae.